GGAAGACCUCAAGGACAGCCAGAGACUGACAGGAGCCAGCAGAGAGAAGCUGAAGGCCAGCAGCAGGAGCAGGGAACGGGGACCUGCUGCUGCCAGCCUGGAGAGAGCUCGGAUGUCCCAUCUGCUGUCCCUGUCCAGGAGAGCUGCUCUGCAUGGGAGGAGGAGACCGAGGGAGAGGCUUUGAAGAUGGGGCAGCUGGGAUCCCUCUGCUUGGAGCUCUGUGUAGACAUGUCUAGAAUUGCACAUACAGAUGAAUUAUCAUUUGGAUAUGUACCUAUGGGGCUUGCUAUUUGUAUAGGAAUAUUUCUGUAUGUAUGGUGUUUAGUGAUGUAUGCUGUGUAUAUAUGUAUACAUACAGAUAUGUUUGUAAUUACAUAUAUGUAUGUGUAUAUAUAUACAAGUACACAUGGAUGUUGUUAUAUCUUUGUGUUUAGUUCUGUUUCCUAUGUAUACAGUUGUGUUGCUGUUUAUUUCUGUUAAUGCAGGUAUAGGCAUAUGGGUCUUUAAACUGUUAUAUUGGUAUUUGAUAGGUAUAUAUGUCUAUUUUUAUACUUUUAUGUGUAUGCAUAUGUAUAGCUGUAUAUUUGUAUUGAUGCAUUUGUAUGGAUAUUUAGCUUGGCACAGUGAUAUUUGUCUGUAUUUCUAGAUAGGCUUGUGUUAUCUAUCUGUUUAUAUAUUUUCUUUAUGAUAUGUAAUAUU
Haemorhous mexicanus (house finch) is the source of this 699-nucleotide long non-coding RNA. RefSeq lists it as uncharacterized. NCBI's taxonomy places the organism in Eukaryota, Metazoa, Chordata, Aves, Passeriformes, Fringillidae. The transcript has 2 exons. The record is from RefSeq and is a predicted model, not a curated record.